Molecule: long non-coding RNA, 201 nt
Organism: Bactrocera dorsalis (oriental fruit fly)
Lineage: Eukaryota; Metazoa; Arthropoda; Insecta; Diptera; Tephritidae
Exons: 2
Source: RefSeq, a predicted model, not a curated record
CUAAUUUAUAUAUAUAUAUUAUUAAUUUCUUUUAUAUAGAGAAAACGAAAGAGGUUAACAAGGAGAAAAAGAAAUCAUUUGGACCAUUGGUAAAAUUCAAAUCUAUUGCGUGCAGCAACCAAAUAAUGGAGUAUGUUUUAAAUUAUUAAAGUUAAAUAGUGUAUAUUUAAUUCAAAUAUUUGUUAUAGAUUGUGCAUUUUA